RNAcentral lists this ribosomal RNA (374 nucleotides) under Burkholderia contaminans. Its description in RNAcentral is "bacterial LSU rRNA". It matches the Rfam family "Bacterial large subunit ribosomal RNA", at positions 2055 to 2437 of the family's 2925-position model. Lineage: Bacteria; Pseudomonadati; Pseudomonadota; Betaproteobacteria; Burkholderiales; Burkholderiaceae. The record is from RNAcentral.
GAAGACGCCGGUUACCCGCAACGGGACGGAAAGACCCCAUGCACCUUCACUAUAGCUUAACAUUGAUAUCGGAUACAGGAUGUGUAGGAUAGGUGGGAGACUGUGAUCCGGCUUCGCCAGGAGUCGGUUAGUCAACGUUGAAAUACCACCCUUUCUGUAUUUGGUGUCUAACUCUUCAAAGAGGAGAACAUUGUUUGGCGGGUAGUUUGACUGGGGUGGUCGCCUCCAAAAAGGUAACGGAGGCUUUCAAAGGUAAGCUCAGUACGCUUGGUAACCGUACGUGGAGUGCAAUAGCAAAAGCUUGCUUGACAGUGAGACAGACAAGUCGAGCUGGGUCGAAAGACGGAUAUAGUGAUCCGGUGGUUCUGCAUGGA